CGGGGUGGAGUAACGACGUGGAGUAACCUGCCUCACACUGGGGGAUAACAGUUAGAAAUGACUGCUAAUACCGCAUAAGCGCACAGUACCGCAUGGUACAGUGUGAAAAACUCCGGUGGUGUGAGAUGGAUCCGCGUCUGAUUAGCCAGUUGGCGGGGUAACGGCCCACCAAAGCGACGAUCAGUAGCCGACCUGAGAGGGUGACCGGCCACAUUGGGACUGAGACACGGCCCAA
Molecule: ribosomal RNA, 235 nt
Filed under: uncultured bacterium
Lineage: Bacteria
Description: partial 16S ribosomal RNA
Rfam family: Bacterial small subunit ribosomal RNA
Source: RNAcentral